CAAUUAUACCGUGAAACUGCGAAUGGCUCAUUAAAUCAGUUAUCGUUUAUUUGAUAGUACCUUACUACUUGGAUAACCGUGGUAAUUCUAGAGCUAAUACAUGCUGAAAACCCCAACUUCGGGAGGGGUGUAUUUAUUAGAUAAAAAACCAACGCCCUUCGGGGCUUCUUGGUGAUUCAUGAUAACUUAACGGAUCGCAUGGCCUUGCGCCGGCGACGGUUCAUUCAAAUUUCUGCCCUAUCAACUUUCGAUGGUAAGGUAUUGGCUUACCAUGGUUUCAACGGGUAACGGGGAAUUAGGGUUCGAUUCCGGAGAGGGAGCCUGAGAAACGGCUACCACAUCCAAGGAAGGCAGCAGGCGCGCAAAUUAUCCAAUCCCGACACGGGGAGAUAGUGACAAUAAAUACUGAUACAGGGCUCUUUUGGGUCUUGUAAUUGGAAUGAGUACAAUUUAAACCUCUUAACGAGGAACAAUUGGAGGGCAAGUCUGGUGCCAGCAGCCGCGGUAAUUCCAGCUCCAAUAGCGUAUAUUAAAGUUGUUGCAGUUAAAAAGCUCGUAGUUGAAACUUGGGUCUGGCUGGCAGGUCCGCCUCACCGCGUGUACUUGUCCGGCCGGGCCUUCCUUCUGGAGAACCUCAUGCCCUUCACUGGGCGUGUUGGGGACCAGGACUUUUACUUUGAAAAAAUUAGAGUGUUCAAAGCAGGCCUUUGCUCGAAUACGUUAGCAUGGAAUAAUAGAAUAGGACGUGCGGUCCUAUUUUGUUGGUUUCUAGGACCGCCGUAAUGAUUAAUAGGGACAGUCGGGGGCAUCAGUAUUCAAUUGUCAGAGGUGAAAUUCUUGGAUUUAUUGAAGACUAACUACUGCGAAAGCAUUUGCCAAGGAUGUUUUCAUUAAUCAGUGAACGAAAGUUAGGGGAUCGAAGACGAUCAGAUACCGUCGUAGUCUUAACCGUAAACUAUGCCGACUAGGGAUCGGGCGAUGUUCUUUUUCUGACUCGCUCGGCACCUUACGAGAAAUCAAAGUUUU
Molecule: ribosomal RNA, 1026 nt
Filed under: Phaeosphaeria norfolcia
Lineage: Eukaryota; Fungi; Ascomycota; Dothideomycetes; Pleosporales; Phaeosphaeriaceae
Description: SSU rRNA
Rfam family: Eukaryotic small subunit ribosomal RNA
Source: RNAcentral